Non-coding RNA from Phaeosphaeria sp. MPI-PUGE-AT-0046c, 86 nucleotides. The record is from the annotation of a GenBank genome assembly. NCBI's taxonomy places the organism in Eukaryota, Fungi, Ascomycota, Dothideomycetes, Pleosporales, Phaeosphaeriaceae.
GCGUCAUUGGCCCAGUGGUUAGGGUACCGCCUUCCCAUCCCUUUGGAAGUAGGCGGGGAUCGGGAGUUCGAACCUCUCAUGGCGCA